This 1485-nucleotide ribosomal RNA is filed under the name Limosilactobacillus fermentum. RNAcentral describes it as "bacterial SSU rRNA". It matches the Rfam family "Bacterial small subunit ribosomal RNA". Lineage: Bacteria; Bacillati; Bacillota; Bacilli; Lactobacillales; Lactobacillaceae. The record is from RNAcentral.
CUAGCGACCUGGGGGUGCCUAUACAUGCAAGUCGAACGCGUUGGCCCAAUUGAUUGAUGGUGCUUGCACCUGAUUGAUUUUGGUCGCCAACGAGUGGCGGACGGGUGAGUAACACGUAGGUAACCUGCCCAGAAGCGGGGGACAACAUUUGGAAACAGAUGCUAAUACCGCAUAACAGCGUUGUUCGCAUGAACAACGCUUAAAAGAUGGCUUCUCGCUAUCACUUCUGGAUGGACCUGCGGUGCAUUAGCUUGUUGGUGGGGUAACGGCCUACCAAGGCGAUGAUGCAUAGCCGAGUUGAGAGACUGAUCGGCCACAAUGGGACUGAGACACGGCCCAUACUCCUACGGGAGGCAGCAGUAGGGAAUCUUCCACAAUGGGCGCAAGCCUGAUGGAGCAACACCGCGUGAGUGAAGAAGGGUUUCGGCUCGUAAAGCUCUGUUGUUAAAGAAGAACACGUAUGAGAGUAACUGUUCAUACGUUGACGGUAUUUAACCAGAAAGUCACGGCUAACUACGUGCCAGCAGCCGCGGUAAUACGUAGGUGGCAAGCGUUAUCCGGAUUUAUUGGGCGUAAAGAGAGUGCAGGCGGUUUUCUAAGUCUGAUGUGAAAGCCUUCGGCUUAACCGGAGAAGUGCAUCGGAAACUGGAUAACUUGAGUGCAGAAGAGGGUAGUGGAACUCCAUGUGUAGCGGUGGAAUGCGUAGAUAUAUGGAAGAACACCAGUGGCGAAGGCGGCUACCUGGUCUGCAACUGACGCUGAGACUCGAAAGCAUGGGUAGCGAACAGGAUUAGAUACCCUGGUAGUCCAUGCCGUAAACGAUGAGUGCUAGGUGUUGGAGGGUUUCCGCCCUUCAGUGCCGGAGCUAACGCAUUAAGCACUCCGCCUGGGGAGUACGACCGCAAGGUUGAAACUCAAAGGAAUUGACGGGGGCCCGCACAAGCGGUGGAGCAUGUGGUUUAAUUCGAAGCUACGCGAAGAACCUUACCAGGUCUUGACAUCUUGCGCCAACCCUAGAGAUAGGGCGUUUCCUUCGGGAACGCAAUGACAGGUGGUGCAUGGUCGUCGUCAGCUCGUGUCGUGAGAUGUUGGGUUAAGUCCCGCAACGAGCGCAACCCUUGUUACUAGUUGCCAGCAUUAAGUUGGGCACUCUAGUGAGACUGCCGGUGACAAACCGGAGGAAGGUGGGGACGACGUCAGAUCAUCAUGCCCCUUAUGACCUGGGCUACACACGUGCUACAAUGGACGGUACAACGAGUCGCGAACUCGCGAGGGCAAGCAAAUCUCUUAAAACCGUUCUCAGUUCGGACUGCAGGCUGCAACUCGCCUGCACGAAGUCGGAAUCGCUAGUAAUCGCGGAUCAGCAUGCCGCGGUGAAUACGUUCCCGGGCCUUGUACACACCGCCCGUCACACCAUGAGAGUUUGUAACACCCAAAGUCGGUGGGGUAACCUUUUAGGAGCCAGCCGCCUAAAGGGGAACAAAU